This is a non-coding RNA of Amycolatopsis mediterranei S699, 508 nucleotides long. The record is from Rfam. NCBI's taxonomy places the organism in Bacteria, Bacillati, Actinomycetota, Actinomycetes, Pseudonocardiales, Pseudonocardiaceae.
UUGGCGGUGAAUUCCCAGAUGCCGUCGUCGUGGGUGAGGGUGGUUUCGCCGAAGUGGUCGCCGUCGGCGAGGGUGCCGAGGACGACUUGGUCGCCGUAGGCGCCGGUGCCGAUUUUGGUGAUUUUGCCGUGGGCGAGGAGGAAGACCUGGUCGGCGGGGGAGCCGAAUUCGACGAGGGCGUCGCCGGGGGCGUAUUCGUGUUGGGUGAAGCGGUCGGCGAGUUCGGUGAGGACGUCUUGGUCGUCGUAGCCGCGUAGGGGGGCGAGUUCGCCGAGUUCGGGGGGGAUGACGCGGACGUGGGCGCCGGUGGUGGUGAAGGUGACGCGGCCGUCGCCGACGGCGUAGGAGAGGCGGCGGUUGACGCGGUAGGCGCCGGCGGCGACGUCGACCCAGGGGAGGAGUUUGAGCAGCCAGCGGGAGGAGAUGCCCUGCAUCUGGGGGACGGAUUUGGUGGUGGUGGCCAGUGUCCGGGCCGCCGCCCGUCCCAGGCUCGACGGUGCCUGCUCGG